This is an RNA transcript of Brachypodium distachyon (stiff brome), 1777 nucleotides long. RefSeq lists it as uncharacterized. The record is from RefSeq and is a predicted model, not a curated record. NCBI's taxonomy places the organism in Eukaryota, Viridiplantae, Streptophyta, Magnoliopsida, Poales, Poaceae. The transcript has 5 exons.
UCCACGUUUUCCUAUCCUGGCCGUUGGUGUGUUGUGAUCGCAUCCGUUCGUUGUUCCAGCGCAGCCGCCCCCGUCCCUCUUCUCAUCCCCACCACUGCAGCUGCUGCUUCCUGUCAAUCCGGCUUCCUACGGCCAAAUCGCCGCCGCCGUCUCCCUUCUCUCCGCAGAACCGGCGCCCCUGGGUGGAGCUCGCAUCGUACCUGCAGAUAGGUGGCGGCACUGGGCCGGCAGAGGCAGAGGACGCGGUGUGCGCGCUGUGUACUGCGGUGAGAGCCAGCCUGCAGGAUACGGGGGGCGCUGCUGGUCAGGGAGCGGAGCCGCGCGUCGGCUCGGCGGCUUGACGACGCGCCGGGCGGAGAUGAGGCCCGCGGCGUCUGGACACGCGGCGGCCUGGCGACGAGGAGACAGGGGCUGGAAGCGCGGCCGUUGGAGGUUAUCUCCUUCCCUUUGUUUGCGCUGAUGCUUGAGCACAUGAAUUUGUUCUAGGCAAACGAGGGAUUACCUACCCCCACACCGCGCCUUCCUUCCUCCUCCUUCUCUUUUCUUUUUCUUCGAGUUUUCACUCUGUAGGUACGUGAUGAAGAAGAUCCGCCUGUCGAAGCACAACGACACGUUCUAGCGGACUGCUUACCAGGAGAUAUAUCUGAUGGCGAGCCUCUGCAGCAACCCCCACAUCGUCGAGUGCAAGGACGGAUGGGUCGACGAGAGGACCUCUGCGUGCAUCGUUACAAGUUGUUGCGAAGGAGGUGACAUGUAAGCUCUUGCGGUUCGCCUUCCUUGCCACCACAUGUAAAAAUUCUCCGUUUUGAGGUAUGCGCUGGUUUUUAGUUACUGAUGACUUAAUUAGGGGUUCACAGAGCGGAGAGAUCAAGAAGGCAAGGGGCGUCCUAUUUUCUGAAGAGGUAAGAACACUGGUGUAGUCUGUAGUGUUUACAGUGUUUACACCUACAGACAUGAGCAGUAGACAAGGAAUUGUUCAGAGUUCAGAAACUUACCUUCCUCUUUGGUACUACUAAUUGUGUUAUCUGAAGAGGGUUUGCUGGUGGUUCACACAAUUGCUCUUGUUCCUUAGCUAUCUGCACUGCAAUCGUGUGCCACGCCAUGACUUCAAGUGUUCCAAUAUCUUGUGAACAAAAGAUCGACAAGCUGCAAGCAAAGUUGUCGAAGCAAAAGAAGCAGCUCUCUGCAGAUGCCUGAAUAUCCUAAACUCCCUUCACCUAUAAUUUUAACCUGGUGUUAACUAUAUUUACUUGAUUCAUUUCGAUAGAGGUGGUCUCUUUUUGCCAUGUAUCAAAAUAUUCACUUGCGACGGGUGCCGAGAACCUGGCCAAGGGAAUACAGUGGUGAGGCGAGAUGAUGGUGGAGAGCCUCCGGUGGGGGAACAAAGGCCUCGGGAAGAGGAUCCAGCCCGGUGAUGCUGACGCUGAGGUCAGCCUGGAGAUGUUGAGAAGGAUAAAAAGGUCCAAUGGCUUUUGCCGAAAAGAUUGUCUUGGCUGUGUUUGGGGUAAAUUAUCAAACUUAUUUUUGUUUGCGGAGGCAAGUUCUAAUUAGGUUUUAUGGCCAGAAUUGUGUUCAUGCUACUUCAAGUGAAUCUGGUGCUUCAUUUGUCCAAAUUCUGAAUAUCUCUUUGGCAUAGUCUUGCCACCAAUCAGUCUAAUAUAUUUAUUUAAGAUGCCAUUGUCUAGGUGUGAAUAUGUAAAUAUAUUCGUUGUCAAAUUUGUUCUAUAUUGGUCUUAACACUGUAAUUAAGAGUUAUAUCUUCAGUCCAUUUAAGGUA